CCCCGCAGCGAGGGGCGAGCUGGAGCCGGGGGCGCACCCUAGGGCGGGGAGCCCAGCUGAGGAACCCGCUCCUGCCCCCGCACUGCACUUGGCCCCCUCUCCAGACCCGAUGGAGGAGGAGGAAGAUGAGAUGGAGGAGCAGGAGGGGAGCUCUCAGUCUGAGGGACCCAGACUGGUGAUCUCCAUGGAUGGGGAUUCAUCACAGUCCCCUUCUCCGCCAAAGUGGAACUCUCCUGUUCCUCUGGACGGGCAGCCCAAGCUGCAGCAGGAGGAAGAGGAACCAGAGGAGGAGGAGGGAGACCAGGAGUUCCAGGUGCAGACGUUGAGGAUCCCAGCAGAUGGGGACUCAUUGGACUCUGCCACUUUCCCAGAGGAGCUGUCGGAGGAGGAGGAGGGAGAUGAGGAGGAAGAGGAGCUGGUAAUCAGAAGGGUGAAGGCAGAGGAGGAAGAGGACCAAGAGUUGGAGGUACAGAAGCUG
Molecule: long non-coding RNA, 478 nt
Filed under: Chelonoidis abingdonii (Abingdon island giant tortoise)
Lineage: Eukaryota; Metazoa; Chordata; Testudines; Testudinidae
Description: lncRNA (ENSCABG00000003366.1)
Source: RNAcentral